CGGAGAUAGCUGGUUCUCCCCGAAAUAGCUUUAGGGCUAGCCUCGAGGUUGAGAGUAUAGGCGGUAGAGCACUGAUCGGGCUAGGGGCCAUACCGGUUACCGAACCUAGUCAAACUACGAAUGGCUAUACUUAUACUCGGGAGUCAGACAGUGAAUGAUAAGGUCCAUUGUCAAGAGGGAAACAGCCCAGAACACCGACUAAGGUCCCAAAUGUUACACUAAGUGGCGAAGGAUGUGGAGUUUCCAAAACAACCAGGAUGUUGGCUUAGAAGCAGCCACCAUUUAAAGAGUGCGUAAUAGCUCACUAGUCGAGUGACCCUGCGCCGAAAAUGUCCGGGGCUAAAGUGUAAAACCGAAGUCGUGUCAUAUGCAGCAAUGUAUAUGGGUAGGGGAGCGUUCUCAUCGGGCUGAAGCAGUACCGUAAGGAGUUGUGGACUGAUGAGAAGUGAGAAUGUCGGUAUGAGUAGCGAAAAGAAUGGUGAGAAUCCAUUCCACCGAAAGCCUAAGGGUUCCUGAGCAACGAUCGUCGUCUCAGGGUAAGUCGGGACCUAAGCCGAGGCCGAAAGGCGUAGGCGAUGGACAACAGGUAGAGAUUCCUGUACUUGUUAACAAUGUUUGAGCGAUGGAGGGACGCAGGAGGCGACGCCACGCAGACGGAUGGAAGUGUCUGUAGAAGCACGAAGUGGUGGUAUGAGUCAAAUGCUUAUACCUAUAACGUUGAGCUGUGAUGGGGAGCGAAGUUUAGUAGCGAGUGAGUGAUGUCACACUGCCAAGAAAAGCUUCUAGCGUUGUAUCAUACUCUACCCGUACCGCAAACCGACACAGGUAGUCGAGGCGAGUAGCCUCAGGUGAGCGAGAGAACUCUCGUUAAGGAACUCGGCAAAAUGACCCCGUAACUUCGGGAGUGAGGUGUGAAUUGAGUUAAAUGCUUAGUUCUAUAACAUUGAGCUGUGAUGGGGAGCGAAGUUUAGUAGCGAAGUUAGUGACGUCACACUGCCAAGAAAAGCUUCUAGCGUUUAAACAUACUCUACCCGUACCGCAAACCGACACAGGUAGUCGAGGCGAGUAGCCUCAGGUGAGCGAGAGAACUCUCGUUAA
Molecule: ribosomal RNA, 1098 nt
Filed under: Porphyromonas sp.
Lineage: Bacteria; Pseudomonadati; Bacteroidota; Bacteroidia; Bacteroidales; Porphyromonadaceae
Description: partial 23S ribosomal RNA
Rfam family: Bacterial large subunit ribosomal RNA
Source: RNAcentral